Molecule: transfer RNA, 64 nt
Filed under: Haemaphysalis sulcata
Lineage: Eukaryota; Metazoa; Arthropoda; Arachnida; Ixodida; Ixodidae
Description: tRNA-Gly
Source: RNAcentral
ACUUAAUUAGUAUAAUAACAAGUACAUUUAAUUUCCAAUUAAAAAGUUAAUAAAUAAUUAAGUA